GCGUAUGAUGAACUAUCGGGUCUACUGAUUUGAUGAUGACCCGCUGGAGCACUGAUC
RNAcentral lists this small nucleolar RNA (57 nucleotides) under Methanocorpusculum labreanum Z. Its description in RNAcentral is "Small nucleolar RNA sR3". It matches the Rfam family "Small nucleolar RNA sR3". Lineage: Archaea; Methanobacteriati; Methanobacteriota; Methanomicrobia; Methanomicrobiales; Methanocorpusculaceae. The record is from Rfam by way of RNAcentral.